This 393-nucleotide ribosomal RNA is filed under the name uncultured bacterium. Its description in RNAcentral is "bacterial SSU rRNA". It matches the Rfam family "Bacterial small subunit ribosomal RNA", at positions 355 to 765 of the family's 1533-position model. The record is from RNAcentral.
UAGGGAAUAUUGGUAAUGGGCGCAAGCCCGAACCAGCAACGCCGCGUGCGCGAUGAAGGCCUUCGGGUUGUAAAGCGCUUUUUAAGGGGAUGAGGAAGGACAGUACUCUUAGAAUAAGCCUCGGCUAACUACGUGCCAGCAGCCGCGGUAAAACGUAGGAGGCGAGCGUUAUCCGGAUUUACUGGGCGUAAAGCGUGUGUAGGCGGUUUGAUAAGUUGGAUGUGAAAGCUCCCGGCUCAACUGGGAGAGGUCGUUCAAAACUAUCAGACUUGAGAGUGGUAGAGGGAGGUGGAAUUCCGCGUGUAGUGGCGAAAUGCGUAGAUAUGCGGAGGAACACCAGUGGCGAAAGCGGCCUCCUGGCCCAUUUCUGACGCUCAGACACGAAAGCUAAGG